GACCUACUAGCCUACGACGGGUACGGGUUGUGAGAGCAAGAGCCCGGAGAUGGAUUCUGAGACACGAAUCCAGGCCCUACGGGGUGCAGCAGGCGCGAAAACUUUACAAUGCGGGAAACCGUGAUAAGGGAAUCUCGAGUGCCAGCAUAUAAUGUUGGCUGUCCAGAUGCCUAAAAAGCAUCUGUUAGCAAGGGCCGGGCAAGACCGGUGCCAGCCGCCGCGGUAACACCGGCGGCCCGAGUGGUAACCGCUUUUAUUGGGUCUAAAGGGUCUGUAGCCGGCCAAGUAAGUCCCUUGGGAAAUCUGGCAGCUUAACUGUCAGGCUGCUAGGGGAUACUGCUAGGCUUGGGACCGGGAGAGGUGAGAGGUACCUUGGGGGUAGGGGUGAAAUCUUGUGAUCCUCGGGGGACCACCAGUGGCGAAGGCGUCUCACCAGAACGGGUCCGACGGUAAGGGACGAAAGCUAGGGGCACGAACCGGAUUAGAUACCCGGGUAGUCCUAGCCGUAAACGAUGCUCGCUAGGUGUCAGUCACGGUGCGACCGUGAUUGGUGCCGUAGGGAAGCCGUGAAGCGAGC
Molecule: ribosomal RNA, 577 nt
Filed under: uncultured archaeon
Lineage: Archaea
Description: bacterial SSU rRNA
Rfam family: Archaeal small subunit ribosomal RNA
Source: RNAcentral